CCACGAUGCUCCCAAACUCGAGCACGAUGGUGAUACGGGUUUUCGAAACUGGUAUCGGAAUCGUGACAUUCCACAUCAUGAUUACCGAACUCCUGUUCCGCCAAACGUUGGGUUAACUCCGCAACUUGUCUCUGCAAAUCUUCAAUCGUCACAUCCUGAAUAUUACAAUCACGGUGCGGGACUUCCUCAAUCGGAACCUGUCCUCGACGACCACGACCACGUCCACCAACCAUUAUAACUGAUGGAAUUUAUCUCCCAAGAAGAUGCUGACGCUCUGAUACCAACUGACGCCGGGUAGGAUAGUGAUUAUCCUAUUGGCUGGUUGUAGCAGAUGAUUCGCAAGAAAAGAACGAUAGAAAAAGCCCAAAAAAAACAGAGAAAAUACUCUGAAUUCAACUCAAUAUUAUUAAUAAUGCAGAAUGCUGAAAACUAACCCACAGGCCGGGUUAAAUAGCUGCGAAAUACGAAAUUAUUGGAAAAUUACCAAAAAUGGCAAAAUCCCGAAAUUAUACCCAAAUAAAAUAUUAAGUAAAAGAAGUAAGUUGCCAAAAAUUUGGCUUAAUUCGAGUUCUCUAACAUAUAAAAAAAAGGAAACUAAAUAUUACCAUAAAUAGUAAAAAUAACUUAAAAUUGAAUUUUGAAAAGGAAAACAGUGGAUUUUGGGCUUGAAAUUGACGUCCACGACGUGCGCACCGAAGAGAGCUUUCCGAAUUGGGGUCAUAAUAGCGAUUCCGAUAACCGUAGCCAAAGUUAUGGCCAAAUUACCAAAGACGCGUCAAAAUCUCCCAAUUAAGAAAAUAAUGGUGAUUUACUUUCCAUCUUUGCGCCGAUCCGCCAUCUCAUGGUAUCUCAGCGCCAUCAUCGUGCAAUCUGACAAAUCAGCAUCACUUAACUCGGAUCCUCCUG
RNAcentral lists this long non-coding RNA (906 nucleotides) under Olea europaea subsp. europaea. Lineage: Eukaryota; Viridiplantae; Streptophyta; Magnoliopsida; Lamiales; Oleaceae. The record is from RNAcentral.